CCUACGGGCGGCAGCAGUGAGGAAUAUUGGUCAAUGGUCGGGAGCCUGAACCAGCCAAGCCGCGUGCGGGAGGACGGUACUGUGUAUCGUCAACCUCUUUUGUCGGGGAACAAAGACUGGGACGCGUCCCCUGACGAGAGUACCUGAAGAAAAAGCAUCGGCUAACUACGUGCCAGCAGCCGUGGUAAUACGGGGGGUGCGAGCGUUAUCCGGUUUUAUGGGGUUUGAAGGGUGAGCAUGCGGGCUGUUAUGUCAGCGGAAAAAUGGCGGGGCUCAAACCCGGCCCGCCGUUGAAACUGGCAGACUCGAGUUGGAGAGAAGUAAGCGGAAUGCGCGGUGUAGCGGUGAAAUGCAUAGAUAUCGGGCAGAACUCCGAUUGCGAAGGCAGCGUGCCGGCUCCACACUGACGCUGAGGCACGAAAGCGUAGGGAGCGAACAGGAUUAGAUACCCUGGUAGUC
RNAcentral lists this ribosomal RNA (459 nucleotides) under uncultured bacterium. Its description in RNAcentral is "partial 16S ribosomal RNA". It matches the Rfam family "Bacterial small subunit ribosomal RNA", at positions 338 to 795 of the family's 1533-position model. The record is from RNAcentral.